RNAcentral lists this unclassified non-coding RNA (422 nucleotides) under Hevea brasiliensis (rubber tree). Lineage: Eukaryota; Viridiplantae; Streptophyta; Magnoliopsida; Malpighiales; Euphorbiaceae. The record is from RNAcentral.
AUAUUUCAUCUUAUUAAUUCUGCGUCCGGUACUAGCAAUCUCUUUCGUUCUCGUGUUCAUAUCUCUGGGGUGGUUUUUGGCAUGGAAGCUGGUGCUGGUACACGUACCUCUUGUGCAAGAGAUGUUCGGGUUGCGUAAAAGGAUCCAUAAACCCAAACCCAUUACUCGUCGAUUUUCCAGAUAUUACAAGUCCAUUAAUGCCCGAAAUUCUACCUCUGGAUGAUGAAAUCUGAUGGGGGAUUUGGUGUCAGUGCUGAAUAAACAUCUUCAGAUCCGCUCGAGAUCAAAUUCUUGAAUGCUUGUGUUCCUGGCAGGGGAGACCAAGGCAGAGUGAAGUAACAAAAACCAUACAUAUUUUUGGCUCCCAACAAAGAAAUUAUCAAUGAAUGUUCAUGUUUAUAGAUAAUAGAGAUUAUGCUUUU